CUUAUCUGGUAUCUUUUGAUCAAAUAUGGUGUAAACACGUCACACUACUGACUACUUACCGUCUUGUGAGUUGAGACCAGGACAUAUAUUGUUUAACUAAUUCAAUAAGUACUGUAAAGCUUGUGUAGUGUCGAUUUCAAUUGUUCUUGUGAAAGUAAAACACCCCUGUGAACUCUAUAAUGAGUACCAAUAUCAAAGCAUCACAUAUUACCA
This 213-nucleotide long non-coding RNA is filed under the name Mytilus galloprovincialis (Mediterranean mussel). The record is from RNAcentral. Lineage: Eukaryota; Metazoa; Mollusca; Bivalvia; Mytilida; Mytilidae.